Molecule: ribosomal RNA, 253 nt
Filed under: uncultured bacterium
Lineage: Bacteria
Description: partial 16S ribosomal RNA
Rfam family: Bacterial small subunit ribosomal RNA
Source: RNAcentral
GACGAAGGGGGCUAGCGUUGUUCGGAAUUACUGGGCGUAAAGCGCGUGUAGGCGGUUUGUUAAGUCAUGUGUGAAAUCCCUCGGCUCAACCGGGGAACGACGCAUGAAACUGGCAAGCUAGAGUACCAAAGAGGGGGGUGGAAUUCCCGGUGUAGCGGUGAAAUGCGUAGAGAUCUGGAAGAACACCAAAGGCGAAGGCAGCAUCCUGGGAAGUUCCUGACGCUCGGGUGCGAAAGCCAGGGGAGCGAACGGG